This 467-nucleotide ribosomal RNA is filed under the name uncultured bacterium. RNAcentral describes it as "partial 16S ribosomal RNA". It matches the Rfam family "Bacterial small subunit ribosomal RNA", at positions 28 to 507 of the family's 1533-position model. The record is from RNAcentral.
GACGAACGCUGGCGGCGUGCUUAACACAUGCAAGUCGAACGGAAAGGCCUCUUUCGGGGGGUACUCGAGUGGCGAACGGGUGAGUAACACGUGAGUAACCUGCCCUUGACUUUGGGAUAACUUCAGGAAACUGGGGCUAUUACCGGAUAGGAGCUCCUGCGGCAGGGUGGGGGUUGGAAAGUUUCGGCGGUUGGGGGUGGACUCGCGGCUUAUCGGCGUGGUGGUGGGGUAGUGGCUUACCAAGGCCUUGACGGGUAGCCGGCCUGAGGGGGUGAGCGGCCACACUGGCACCGAGAGAAGGCAGAGACGGCUACGGGAGGAAGCAGUGCGGAAGACUGCACAAUGGGUGGAAGCUGGAUGAAGAAGCGCCGCGUGUGGGAUGACGGUCUUCGGGUUGAAGAACGCUUUCGCUCAUAACGAAGCUUUGUGUGACGGUAGUGGGUAAAGAAGCACCGGCUAACUACGUG